CCGGCAUUAAAAUAAUGUCAUUUAAGAGCCAAUAGUUUUUAGCCAAUAGUUUUUAAGAGCCAAUAGUAGGUGUGAAUGAGUGUGUGAAUGGUGCCCUGUGAUGGACUGGAGUAUGCGGGAUUGACUCCAGAAUCAGCAUGACCCUAGGAUUAGGGUUUUCAGUUAAUUAUCAGAAUAAAGUGUUUCUGAAGAUGUAUGAGUUUGGAAACUAUCCGGGUUUACGAUCUUAAGGGUGCUUCUGAUCCGUUAUGAAAUAUUUUCUAUUAAAUAUGCAUCCAUACAUCUACCGUACCGCUUAUCCUACACAGGGUCACAGGGAGCUCGGGGCACAACGUGGGUCUGCCAACCCAUCUCAGGAGACAUUCACACACCCGUUCACACAUCACGGACAAUUUGGAAAUGCCGAUCAGCCUACAGUGCAUAUCUUUGGACUAGGGGAGGAAACCGGAGUGCCUGGAGGAGGCCCCGAAGCAUGGGGAGGGCACGCACACAGGACGGAGGCGGGACUCGAACCCCCAACCCUGGAGCUGCGAGGCAAACAUCACACCACCGUUAACCCCUCCUCCACCCAUACUAGUCUCAAAAGAGCUGCCCUACAGUUCAAACCCACCCUUUAUGGGAGAGUCUGCAGGAGGAAAGCUGUGCUUGCUUUGUUCAGGAAGUGAAAAAAAAGAAAAGAAAAGAAAAAUAC
This is a long non-coding RNA of Ictalurus punctatus (channel catfish), 691 nucleotides long. NCBI's taxonomy places the organism in Eukaryota, Metazoa, Chordata, Actinopteri, Siluriformes, Ictaluridae. The record is from Ensembl.